RNAcentral lists this ribosomal RNA (393 nucleotides) under uncultured bacterium. Its description in RNAcentral is "partial 16S ribosomal RNA". It matches the Rfam family "Bacterial small subunit ribosomal RNA", at positions 523 to 918 of the family's 1533-position model. The record is from RNAcentral.
AUACGUAGGGGGCAAGCGUUAUCCGGAUUCAUUGGGUUUAAAGGGUGCGCAGGCGGCCGUGCAAGUCAGCGGUGAAAGCCCGGGGCUCAACCCCGGAAGUGCCGUUGAUACUGCAUGGCUGGAAUGCGGUCGAGGCGGGCGGGACGGGGCGGGGAGCGGGGAAAUGCGUAGAUAUGCCACAGAAAGCCGAUAGCGGGGGCAGCACGCCAGGCCUGCAUUGACGCUCGGGCACGAAAGCGUGGGGAUCGAACAGGAUUAGAUACCCUGGUAGUCCACGCCGUAAACGAUGGGCGCUCGUCGUCGGCGGCAGACAGUCGGCGGCCAAGCGAAAGCGAUAAGCGCCCCACCUGGGGAGUACGGUCGCAAGGCUGAAACUCAAAUGAAUUGACGGGG